Molecule: transfer RNA, 92 nt
Filed under: Luteitalea sp. TBR-22
Lineage: Bacteria; Pseudomonadati; Acidobacteriota; Vicinamibacteria; Vicinamibacterales; Vicinamibacteraceae
Description: Vicinamibacteria bacterium TBR-22 tRNA-Ser
Source: RNAcentral
AGGCCAUCCUCGAGGCGGAGCUCGUUCGGCUCGACGCCGAGCACCAGGCUGGGCACGGCGGUCUGGCUGCCGAUCGCGUUGGCGAUGACCUG